UUCCAUUCUCCCUCCUAUUCCAUCGAUCCAAACGUAGCAUAACUCUCCCACUCAUUUAUGCGGCAUAGUAAGAAAAAAAGGAAAAACCAUGGCCGCUCAAUAUCGAUGGCAAGUCCCCCUAAUUCUCUAUCUUUCUUUAUUCCCGUAUUCUCUCUCUUCCGCCGCGCGCCUCUUCCCACCGCCGAUCCCGGCUUCUCCGUUUAUCCUGUCGUCGCCUUUCUCCUCUAUAUGAGGAGAAUCAAGGUAUGGGGUUUAGUUUUUAGGUUUGACCUAAGCUUCUUGUAUUGGUCAAUUUUCUUCUAUUAUAUUGUUUAGAUGCAUGUAAAUUGGCUUGUUGGUAUGCACAGAUUCCACUCCCUCCAGUGGAUGAGAAGAAAAAAGUAAUUAAAGAUGUUGACAAGUACAGGCGCUAUGCUAUCCCUUCCUAGAUUGAAUUCCAAUUUUGCUCGGUUACAUAAAGAAAUUGAAGUUAAGGAGGGAUUAUAAAGAUUAUAAUCAAGCAAAAGAGGUAUAUAUAAUUUUGUUAUUUUUUUAUGAUUGAAUUAAUUUAGUGGAGAUAGUGUUAAUAGUUAUGAACUGAGUUUAUGGGUGUGAUGGAUAAUUGGCAAUCAAUUAUAUAUAUGCUAUGAUAGUUGAUAAUGGAGAUAUUAUAUAAGUUGGGUUUUUUCAAAAACACGGUUAGUUUAUGUUAGUGUUAUAAAAUCAGUUAGAAUAUUGAAUUAAGGUAACUCUGUUUGGGUAAAGUUAGUAAUGUAGCUUGUUAGUUAUUUUGUAAAUAUAUGUUCAUGUAUGAUAUUAACUAUGAUUGUUGCUUGUGGACUGAAAUUAGAGCCAUGGAGAUUAGUGUGGUUUUGCGAAGUAAUAAGGUUGGCAAAAAUGCUUUGAAUAUGUAGCCCAAGCCUUAGAAAACAGUCCACAAGCUAGGUGCAUUAGUUAUGUUUGAUAAAAUGUCAUAGUAAACUAAUUUGGCUAAAAACACAUAAUUUGACGGAGCCGAAACCUAAUAUAGAUUCGUCCAACAUAAACUAAGUUAACUUAAGCUAAAAUAGUGCAAUAUAUAAUUGGACAAUAAGUGAAAUCCAUGACCAAAACUUUUAUGUUGAUGAUCAAGGACAGAAAACGCUGAAUACACAUUCCAGUAAGAUUGUGUUUAUAAAAUAGAUCAUUCAUGCCUUGUUAAAAUAGUGUUGAUACAAUAGACUGAAUGAAUUCAUGAGCAAAACUUUCAUAACCUUUAAUAUUUUCAUAUCUCUUGUUAAUUUUUGCUCAUUGUGCUAUAAAUCUCGGUCAUGAAUUUUUAAUUUCCAACUAUUGCACAGAGAUUAUUAAUGACUGAAUUCUAUAUGGUCUAGUAUUAUUAGUCUCUAUUGUUGUGCACAAAUCAAUAAUGAUUUUGGUUUUGAUUUGUAUUUGUUAUCAAUCAAUUUGUCUUACUUAUGCAAUUUAGCUGAUUGGCGUGGCACGGAGAUUUUUAAGAAUCAUUGAUUGGUAUUUCGCUAUCCAUCAAUUUUUCACAGUACAAUAGGAGAUAUUUGUCAAGUUCAAGAUGUGGAUACAAAUAGUUCAGGAGGAGUACCUGAUCAUAGUGCAAGUACACAUGGUAAAACAUGUAAACAAAUAAUAGUAUUCUUGCAACCUGCAUUUCCAAUAUUUAAUUCAGCAAGCAUGUCUAAAUGAUAAGUUAACAUUCAAAUGAUGGUAAAAAAAAGAAAUGCAUGUGAGAACAUUAAUAGACGAUGUCCCAUCUAGUGAGGCACGUUAAAAGGCUGAAAAUUGUAAUUUAAGCCGCUUAAAUCUGAGAAACUUGUCACGUGAUUGUAAUUUGAAAUUCACAAGUGGUAAACAUAUCACAUGCCAUUGACUGGCAAGAACAACCAUUUUGUUGCCUUGUAUAGAUGCCUCCUUAGUUUUAGUUUUUUCCUUUUAACUGGAGUUCAAAUACUGCCCUUUAGGUCCUUAAAUAAUUAAGUAUAAAAAUUUUACUCACUAGCCAAGCCAAAUAAAUCACCACACCAUUGAUCAAAUAUGCAUUAGACCUCUUCAAACCAGCAGUAUCAAGGAACCUUCAUGAGACCAGAGAAUAUAUUAAACUGCAAUUAGAUUCGAAUCAUGAAGAGAGAAUUACUCUCAAAACAUACCAUCUCAUAUUUAUCUCUGGAGUUGUCACCUCAGAGAUGAGAACCAUAAAUGUAUAGAGCUGUCCCUCCCCAGUAAACAAGGCAUAUGCUACUGCAAUCCCGGAAAGAGAGUGAUGAACAACCUGAAAGCAACACCGCAAUCACAGUCAUAGUGAUAGCCUAACAUGCCCAUAAUAUGGCUGCUAUGUGUUAAAUUGUAUGCAUAAACUGAUCCUUGUUCCUGAAAUAGACCAGAUCUCUUUCAAAUACCCACCCAGUCUAACAAGACACAAUGUUAGUGUUCUUUCUUCUUUUGGUACAGAAUUUUUGUUUUGGAGUAAAUGUGCUGUUAAUUUCAAAUUUAUAUUUUGUGAAUAGCCAUAAAAAAAUCUUGAAAUAUCCAACAGAAAAUGUUUAGUCUAUGGAGCUACUCCGAAUUUGAAUGUGACUAUAUUUAUAAUUUACUUGGUAUAAAUAGGUAUUCUUUUAGGGAACUGAUAUUUUUAUAUGUAUUUUUGAUAUUUUUAUAAAAUCUUUUCUCACAGAGCAUAUAGUGGGUCUCACCGGAAUCAUGCGAAAAUUUCAAAAACACAUGUUGAAAUAGUACUCCCUUUACUUUAAUACAAUAUAAUCAUGAAUGCGUAGUUGAAUUGAUUAUUUAUAAACAAGGAUAUAAAUAUAUAAACAUAAACAACAAAUUUUUAAGCUCUUGCAAUAUCAUCAGCUAGGCUAUGGAUGUACCCGAUGAGCAAAAGAAGAAGUAAUUAUAGGUAAGACAAAUAUACUAAACAAGAUUUGCAUGUAGUUAGAUGAAGUAGUACCAAGUACUUAUUAGGUUGUUCAUUUUUUCACAUGUUGAUUGUUGGAAUAAGUAGACACCAUAUUAUAUACUUAUGAAAUAGCACCCAACCCACGACAUCAACAGCCUCGUCUCAAGUCUCAAGUUCAUGUUCAAGUUCAAGUUCUUCAUUGAUUAAUCUCUAGCAUUAAUUAUCCCAUGCGAGCAUGUACCCAUUUUUAUCCUACAUAUAAUAUAUUACUUCAUUUAAAUAAUUUCUCAAUUAUGUAAAUUUGCUGAUGGAAAUUUGAUGACAAAUUUGGGAAUGUUGGGCUAUUUUACACAAAUAUCAAUAAAGAAACAAUAACUAUUUUGUAGGAAAAAAUUGGAUAAAUGAGACUUUUUUUUAAAAGAAAAAACAAAUACAUUUAGCCCAUCUCUCUCUCACCCUCUCUCGCUUUGUUUACUUGAGAGAAAUUGGUUCCUUGAUUUCUUGAAUUCAAAUCUCCUGGUCAGCACCCAUGAGAAUUCUUCUGAAUGCACCAACUCAAGUCCCUAUUAAGGUAUAAAAUUAUUAAUAUUGACUCCUAAACUCAUGAAAAUGACAAAGUAUGUAAACUUCUGAUUGUGCAUAUGUUUUGAUAUUUUAGUUUUGACAUUCAUUUCUUAUACCUAGUCGAUGUAAAGUAGUUACUAACAAAUUAUUGAGCUCCUGUUGUGGGUUCAUAGAAACUUCCGUAGUAACUUAUAACAAUAUUUCUUUUCUCUUAAUCUUAGUUUUUGCAACUCAAGGUAGAUGGUAAUGAUAUUGGUAAGAACAAGUGCUUUAUGCCCCCACACGCCUGUACCCUUCUAGAGUUGUGAGUUUUUCGUCGUCAACUGUGUAUCAAAUUGCAUGUUGUUUGUCCAAAUUUAGUAAUUUUGAGUUUGUCAAAAUAAAAACCAAGGACUGUGUAAAUAGGCAUACAGAACUGUGUGCCAAGUGUAAUAGAAGAUUUAGUUUUUUUUCACAUAACAGUUACUUCAAAGUUGGACAUAAAGAGUAGGUGUAUCUUUGUCAUAGUUGUUGUAAUCUUAUACAUGCACAUUGCACAUGGUACCAUCUUGUGUAUGUUUGUCAAACUAGUAUGUACUUCAUGUUAUCUUGUUUAAGGCAUUUUAUUUAGUCAGUUGAAGGACUCUGGAAUCUUUUUAUAUGCUUAACCAUUUAAUAAAUAUUGUGGGUAGUCUGUUGGUUUAAUAAUAUUAGUACCAUGUAACAACUCUAUUGUCUUUGUAUAUUGAUUUUGGCAUUAAGUGCCUCUGGUGACCUAUUUGCUUUAUUUUCCUGACUUGCUAUUAUUUUUAAAUGUGCAGGAAGACUGCUUUUACGACCUGCCUUACAAUACUGGGUAUUAAAUUUCUGUGCUACGUUUACGGAAGGCAAAUGACGAAAUUAUGAAGUGUACUCUCUCUAUAUAUGUAGAUAUAUACUUUGAUUGAAGAACUGUGGUAGUUUUAGCUGGUUAAUUGUAAAGAUAAUGAAUGAUUAUGUAGUGGAUGAUUUUAUUAAGUUAAUAAUAUUUUACUUUUUUUGUAUUUUUGUCAUUAUUUGCUAUGGGGACAUUGAGCCAAUCAGGUACAUAAAAAGAAUGUCAAAUUUUGAUUUGGCAACAAUAUAAUUCGUUAUCAAAGUAUUGA
RNAcentral lists this long non-coding RNA (4575 nucleotides) under Panax ginseng (ginseng). RNAcentral's name for it is "long non-coding RNA (PGIN_LNC011165)". Lineage: Eukaryota; Viridiplantae; Streptophyta; Magnoliopsida; Apiales; Araliaceae. The record is from RNAcentral.